CGUACACAAAAGCGCAUGUGCUGUGAGCUCGAUGAGUAGGGCGGGACACGUGGUAUCCUGUCUGAAUAUGGGGGGACCAUCCUCCAAGGCUAAAUACUCCUGACUGACCGAUAGUGAACCAGUACCGUGAGGGAAAGGCGAAAAGAACCCCGGCGAGGGGAGUGAAAAAGAACCUGAAACCGUGUACGUACAAGCAGUGGGAGCCCCACCACUAAGCCAGUGGUGAACUCCACAUACGCAUCCUUUGCUGAAGGCAAUGGUUAACGGAGCGAAAGCGACGUUCAACCGCAAAACAAGCAGAGGGGGCUUAGUGG
This 314-nucleotide ribosomal RNA is filed under the name Salmonella enterica subsp. enterica serovar Thompson. RNAcentral describes it as "bacterial LSU rRNA". It matches the Rfam family "Bacterial large subunit ribosomal RNA", at positions 374 to 716 of the family's 2925-position model. The record is from RNAcentral. Lineage: Bacteria; Pseudomonadati; Pseudomonadota; Gammaproteobacteria; Enterobacterales; Enterobacteriaceae.